Molecule: ribosomal RNA, 773 nt
Filed under: uncultured Neocallimastigales
Lineage: Eukaryota; Fungi; Neocallimastigomycota; Neocallimastigomycetes; Neocallimastigales
Description: partial large subunit ribosomal RNA
Rfam family: Eukaryotic large subunit ribosomal RNA
Source: RNAcentral
UACGACUACAUAUCAGGCAUAUCAAUAAGCGGAGGAAAAGAAACUAACAAGGAUUCCCCUAGUAACGGCGAGUGAAGCGGGAAGAGCUCAAAUUUGAAAUCUUAAAGGGUUUCCCUUUACGAAUUGUAGUUUAAAGAAGUGUUUUCUGUUGGAGUUUCGGUAAAAGUUCUUUGGAAUAGGACAUCAUAGAGGGUGAGAAUCCCGUAUUUGACUAUUCUUUCUAGCUUUGUGAUACACUUUCAAAGAGUCGGAUUGUUUGGGAAUGCAGUCCAAAAUGGGUGGUAAAUUUCAUCUAAAGCUAAAUAUUGGCGAGAGACCGAUAGCGAACAAGUACCGUGAGGGAAAGAUGAAAAGAACUUUGAAAAGAGAGUUAAACAGUACGUGAAAUUGUCAAAAGGGAAGCGUUUGACACCAGUGUUGUUUCUACGAAAAUCAAUUUAUGAUGGCUUGAUGCUAAGCUUUAAGACUUUAUCCGCUUGUUGUUUAGUUUUCUUGUCUUUGUGAAUGCACUUUUCGUGGAACAAGUCAACAUCAAUUUCUUUUGCUGUAAAAGGGUAAGAGGAAGGUGGCUUCGGCUUCGGUUGAAGUGUUUAUAGCCUUUUAUCUCUGCAGUCGGAGAGAUUGAGGUCUGCAGCGUAGACUCUUCGGGGUUAGAUACGUCGGUGCUAAGCUAUAGCUUUUCAUAGACAACUUGUUGACUAUGUUUAGUCAUGUGGCUUACCCGCUAGCGCUAUUUUACCUACGCUUAGGAUGUUGACUGAUAUGUAGUCGUA